Molecule: ribosomal RNA, 274 nt
Filed under: uncultured bacterium
Lineage: Bacteria
Description: partial 16S ribosomal RNA
Rfam family: Bacterial small subunit ribosomal RNA
Source: RNAcentral
CUACGGAGGGGGCUAGCGUUGUUCGGAAUUACUGGGCGUAAAGCGCGUGUAGGCGGAUCGUUAAGUCAUGGGUGAAAGCCCGGAGCUCAACUCCGGAAUUGCCCUUGAUACUGGCGAUCUAGAGGCCGGGAGAGGUGAGCGGAAUUCCCAGUGUAGAGGUGAAAUUCGUAGAUAUUGGGAGGAACACCAGUGGCGAAGGCGGCUCACUGGCCCGGUUCUGACGCUGAGACGCGAAAGCGUGCGGAGCAAACAGGAUUAGAAACCCUAGUAGUCC